Molecule: ribosomal RNA, 2924 nt
Filed under: Escherichia coli
Lineage: Bacteria; Pseudomonadati; Pseudomonadota; Gammaproteobacteria; Enterobacterales; Enterobacteriaceae
Description: 23S ribosomal RNA
Rfam family: Bacterial large subunit ribosomal RNA
Source: RNAcentral
GGGUUGUGAGGUUAAGCGACUAAGCGUACACGGUGGAUGCCCUGGCAGUCAGAGGCGAUGAAGGACGUGCUAAUCUGCGAUAAGCGUCGGUAAGGUGAUAUGAACCGUUAUAACCGGCGAUUUCCGAAUGGGGAAACCCAGUGUGAUUCGUCACACUAUCAUUAACUGAAUCCAUAGGUUAAUGAGGCGAACCGGGGGAACUGAAACAUCUAAGUACCCCGAGGAAAAGAAAUCAACCGAGAUUCCCCCAGUAGCGGCGAGCGAACGGGGAGCAGCCCAGAGCCUGAAUCAGUGUGUGUGUUAGUGGAAGCGUCUGGAAAGGCGUGCGAUACAGGGUGACAGCCCCGUACACAAAAAUGCACAUGCUGUGAGCUCGAUGAGUAGGGCGGGACACGUGGUAUCCUGUCUGAAUAUGGGGGGACCAUCCUCCAAGGCUAAAUACUCCUGACUGACCGAUAGUGAACCAGUACCGUGAGGGAAAGGCGAAAAGAACCCCGGCGAGGGGAGUGAAAAAGAACCUGAAACCGUGUACGUACAAGCAGUGGGAGCACGCUUAGGCGUGUGACUGCGUACCUUUUGUAUAAUGGGUCAGCGACUUAUAUUCUGUAGCAAGGUUAACCGAAUAGGGGAGCCGAAGGGAAACCGAGUCUUAACUGGGCGUUAAGUUGCAGGGUAUAGACCCGAAACCCGGUGAUCUAGCCAUGGGCAGGUUGAAGGUUGGGUAACACUAACUGGAGGACCGAACCGACUAAUGUUGAAAAAUUAGCGGAUGACUUGUGGCUGGGGGUGAAAGGCCAAUCAAACCGGGAGAUAGCUGGUUCUCCCCGAAAGCUAUUUAGGUAGCGCCUCGUGAAUUCAUCUCCGGGGGUAGAGCACUGUUUCGGCAAGGGGGUCAUCCCGACUUACCAACCCGAUGCAAACUGCGAAUACCGGAGAAUGUUAUCACGGGAGACACACGGCGGGUGCUAACGUCCGUCGUGAAGAGGGAAACAACCCAGACCGCCAGCUAAGGUCCCAAAGUCAUGGUUAAGUGGGAAACGAUGUGGGAAGGCCCAGACAGCCAGGAUGUUGGCUUAGAAGCAGCCAUCAUUUAAAGAAAGCGUAAUAGCUCACUGGUCGAGUCGGCCUGCGCGGAAGAUGUAACGGGGCUAAACCAUGCACCGAAGCUGCGGCAGCGACACUAUGUGUUGUUGGGUAGGGGAGCGUUCUGUAAGCCUGCGAAGGUGUGCUGUGAGGCAUGCUGGAGGUAUCAGAAGUGCGAAUGCUGACAUAAGUAACGAUAAAGCGGGUGAAAAGCCCGCUCGCCGGAAGACCAAGGGUUCCUGUCCAACGUUAAUCGGGGCAGGGUGAGUCGACCCCUAAGGCGAGGCCGAAAGGCGUAGUCGAUGGGAAACAGGUUAAUAUUCCUGUACUUGGUGUUACUGCGAAGGGGGGACGGAGAAGGCUAUGUUGGCCGGGCGACGGUUGUCCCGGUUUAAGCGUGUAGGCUGGUUUUCCAGGCAAAUCCGGAAAAUCAAGGCUGAGGCGUGAUGACGAGGCACUACGGUGCUGAAGCAACAAAUGCCCUGCUUCCAGGAAAAGCCUCUAAGCAUCAGGUAACAUCAAAUCGUACCCCAAACCGACACAGGUGGUCAGGUAGAGAAUACCAAGGCGCUUGAGAGAACUCGGGUGAAGGAACUAGGCAAAAUGGUGCCGUAACUUCGGGAGAAGGCACGCUGAUAUGUAGGUGAAGCGACUUGCUCGUGGAGCUGAAAUCAGUCGAAGAUACCAGCUGGCUGCAACUGUUUAUUAAAAACACAGCACUGUGCAAACACGAAAGUGGACGUAUACGGUGUGACGCCUGCCCGGUGCCGGAAGGUUAAUUGAUGGGGUCAGCGCAAGCGAAGCUCUUGAUCGAAGCCCCGGUAAACGGCGGCCGUAACUAUAACGGUCCUAAGGUAGCGAAAUUCCUUGUCGGGUAAGUUCCGACCUGCACGAAUGGCGUAAUGAUGGCCAGGCUGUCUCCACCCGAGACUCAGUGAAAUUGAACUCGCUGUGAAGAUGCAGUGUACCCGCGGCAAGACGGAAAGACCCCGUGAACCUUUACUAUAGCUUGACACUGAACAUUGAGCCUUGAUGUGUAGGAUAGGUGGGAGGCUUUGAAGUGUGGACGCCAGUCUGCAUGGAGCCGACCUUGAAAUACCACCCUUUAAUGUUUGAUGUUCUAACGUUGACCCGUGAUCCGGGUUGCGGACAGUGUCUGGUGGGUAGUUUGACUGGGGCGGUCUCCUCCUAAAGAGUAACGGAGGAGCACGAAGGUUGGCUAAUCCUGGUCGGACAUCAGGAGGUUAGUGCAAUGGCAUAAGCCAGCUUGACUGCGAGCGUGACGGCGCGAGCAGGUGCGAAAGCAGGUCAUAGUGAUCCGGUGGUUCUGAAUGGAAGGGCCAUCGCUCAACGGAUAAAAGGUACUCCGGGGAUAACAGGCUGAUACCGCCCAAGAGUUCAUAUCGACGGCGGUGUUUGGCACCUCGAUGUCGGCUCAUCACAUCCUGGGGCUGAAGUAGGUCCCAAGGGUAUGGCUGUUCGCCAUUUAAAGUGGUACGCGAGCUGGGUUUAGAACGUCGUGAGACAGUUCGGUCCCUAUCUGCCGUGGGCGCUGGAGAACUGAGGGGGGCUGCUCCUAGUACGAGAGGACCGGAGUGGACGCAUCACUGGUGUUCGGGUUGUCAUGCCAAUGGCACUGCCCGGUAGCUAAAUGCGGAAGAGAUAAGUGCUGAAAGCAUCUAAGCACGAAACUUGCCCCGAGAUGAGUUCUCCCUGACUCCUUGAGAGUCCUGAAGGAACGUUGAAGACGACGACGUUGAUAGGCCGGGUGUGUAAGCGCAGCGAUGCGUUGAGCUAACCGGUACUAAUGAACCGUGAGGCUUAACCUUACAACGCCGAAG